Molecule: long non-coding RNA, 1066 nt
Organism: Dermochelys coriacea (leatherback sea turtle)
Lineage: Eukaryota; Metazoa; Chordata; Testudines; Dermochelyidae
Exons: 2
Source: RefSeq, a predicted model, not a curated record
GCUCAGUCCUACGGACUGUGGCUUUGGCUACAGGUUAGUGCAAAAAUUGGCAACAUCCAGCUCUGAGCCUGGUUUUAUCUGCUGUUAAUCCAACAAGUUGAAGUCUGGAUAAUUCAGCUUCCUUAGCAACUGUGCAGGACGCAGUGUGCUGCAGGUGUUCAUACAUUUCUGUUUGCAAAGGAAAACAAGGAGCACCUUAGAUGAUGGUCAUAGUCAAAAUCGGGGAAUCACUUGGAACAAAUUACAGACAUCCGCUUUGCUAACGUGCCUCAGGCUGUGGUUCCGAUAGCUUAUGGCCAGUGCUGUCUAGACUGUCUGUACUGGGGUUUGCACUGUGUUUUCCAGAACGUCUUAGUCGUGUUGCUGAGCAUGCACCUAGGAGGAGUUUCUGCCUAGUGAGAUCUCUAGUAACUUUUAUGGAACAAAAAACUGCUGGCGCUUGAACCAAAAUUUAUGGGUUCACACUUAAGUACAAGUGGUGAAAUCCUGUUGCCACUGAAGUCAAUGGCAAAACUCCUGUUAGUUCAGGAUUCCACCCCAGGUCUCUAAACCCACUCCCAGCUCUACCUAAUUCUCUGCAGAAGAAAAGAGACAACCCUGGCUUAGCAAGUUGCAGCGAGGUGUGCAACCUAUUGAGUAUGCUUUGGGUAGCAAGAACGCUCAGUUCCUCUGAGUUGCUCAUUUUCAUGCAGAACCAAGUCCUGCCGGCUUCCCUGGAUUUAUAAUACCUCAGAACUGCUGUAGCCAUUAUGGAUUAAAUUAAAUUUGGGGAUGAGUAAAUUCCAAAUCCGAACUGUGUUUCAUACAUUACAUAGAAACUUUCCUAAAAUAGAGUAGUAAUAAAAAUAGCACUUACUUCAUAGCACUACAAAACCAAGAGCCAAGAGGUUGUUAUGCUAUCAGGGGCUGGCUCUGGGGUUUCUCAAAUGCUCUAGAUGAGAUCCCUGAUUUGACAUCAGUGACUAACAGGAAGUGUAACUUGACUAUCACCUCUUUUCCUAAUUAUGCACUGUAACUGGAUGUUUUUUAAAAACUUCUUUUAGAAUUCUUAUCUCUGUUUUAGAAU